AAUUUAAUUUAUUUUUUUUUAUUUUGGAAAUGUUUGAAUUGAAAAUUAAUUAGAAGUUUAAUAGAGGUGUGAGUAUUAAACCCUAAAUUAAUUACUAAUUUUUAUAUUAAAAAAUUAUAUAAUAAACAUGUAAAUUCAUUAUCACAUCAAUACUAGGGACUUGAAUCAAAAUUUGAGAACUAAUAAGGUCUUAGUUAAUAAACAGUAAAAACUAGGGACCGGAUACUAAUUUUUCCUAUAUUCAAAUUAUAGACCUAAUUCCUUUUGUACCGAAAUAAGACUAUAGACCUACGUGGACUGACUCCCAUGCAGGCAGGCAGAUUGCAUAUAUUUUAGAUGUGCAGUAGCUGUCGAAGAAUGAGACAAAAAUAAAAACAAAUAAAACUAUUUUUCCAGGAAGCAACCUGGAAAGAGUGGGGAUUGAUUAGUUAAAACCGUUUUUCCGGUUUCCUGGUCUUCCAAACAAGAACCAAACUAAUGACUGACUUGAUAAACUAGGGUUUACUUCUAAUGUCAUCAUGUCUUCACAAGACUCACAAAUGGACGCUUCUAAAAUGAUUCCUUGCUCACCAAAAUGUUAAGACAAAUGUUAAAAAUGGCUGACCUAUGUAAGUAUACGUGCGAUUGUUAAUCGUUUAAUAUACGUAAAUUCCACAUGCAUUUACGACUGAGGAAAAUCUCCUCAUGUGAGUUCUUCGGCUGUUGCAAAUUUCUAAAAGUAAGAAAAUAACACUUAUUUGAAAUAUUUUCCCAAAGACGGUGCAGUUAACCAAAAAAUGUUCUUCACUGUUGUGACAAAUUCUCAAUUACGUAGGUAAGCUUGUCAAUUAUCGAUGAUGAACGGCUAAUUUGGAAUUUGUCAAAGUUAUGCACCUAUAAAUCAAACAAUAAUAAUUAUUGUGUGCAGCUAUAUUUGACUUGCAUGCAUGAUUCACUGAUCAACGACUGAACGAGCGAGAAGAGAAUCCCAGUCUCUCGGUUGCCACCAUUGUUAAACUUCAUUAAUAAUUAAGCUUUACCAAUAUUGGCAAUGGGGUUGAUCAGAUAUGAAAUAUCAUCAGUGCACUAAUGAGUAAGUUAGCUCUCCACGUACGAAUGCAUGUGUUAUAUAUAGUAUGAAUUAGCGAUAAGAUUAAUACUUCAUGAAUUUAAAUAUACGGAUCAUAAACGAAUUAGAUUAAUAAUACUUCAUCUUGUUACCAUUUUCCUUAUGCAUCUGGUACGUGUAUUAAUAUUGCACCAUUAAUCUCAUUCAACUAUAUUCAAUAAUUCUAUAACAAGACUAGUAGAGAGAGACUUACAUCUAUUAACAAUUGAAGAAUAAAGGUUGAGAGUGAAAGGGAGAG
RNAcentral lists this long non-coding RNA (1346 nucleotides) under Malus domestica (apple). RNAcentral describes it as "long non-coding RNA (MDOM_LNC007030)". Lineage: Eukaryota; Viridiplantae; Streptophyta; Magnoliopsida; Rosales; Rosaceae. The record is from RNAcentral.